GACGAACGCUGGCGGCGUGCUUAACACAUGCAAGUCGAACGGAAAGGCCCUGCUUUUGUGGGGUGCUCGAGUGGCGAACGGGUGAGUAACACGUGAGUAAUCUGCCCUUGACUUUGGGAUAACUUCAGGAACCUGGGGCUAAUACCGGAUAGGAGCUCCUGCUGCAUGGUGGGGGUUGGAAAGUUUCGGCGGUUGGGGAUGGACUCGCGGCUUAUCAGCUUGUUGGUGGGGUAGUGGCUUACCAAGGCUUUGACGGGUAGCCGGCCUGAGAGGGUGACCGGCCACAUUAGGACUGAGAUACGGCCCAGACUCCUACGGGAGGCAGCAGUGGGGAAUAUUGCACAAUGGGCGGAAGCCUGAUGCAGCAACGCCGCGUGCGGGAUGACGGCCUUCGGGUUGUAAACCGCUUUCGCCUGUGACGAAGCGUGAGUGACGGUAAUGGGUAAAGAAGCACCGGCUAACUACGUG
This 468-nucleotide ribosomal RNA is filed under the name uncultured bacterium. Its description in RNAcentral is "partial 16S ribosomal RNA". It matches the Rfam family "Bacterial small subunit ribosomal RNA", at positions 28 to 507 of the family's 1533-position model. The record is from RNAcentral.